CCUACGGGAGGCAGCAGUGAGGAAUAUUGGUCAAUGGACGAGAGUCUGAACCAGCCAAGUAGCGUGAAGGAUGACUGCCCUAUGGGUUGUAAACUUCUUUUAUAUGGGAAUAAAACGUUCCACGUGUGGGAUUUUGUAUGUACCAUAUGAAUAAUGAUCGGCUAACUCCGUGCCAGCAGCCGCGGUAAUACGGAGGAUCCGAGCGUUAUCCGGAUUUAUUGGGUUUACAGGGAGCGUAGGUGGAUUGUUAAGUCAGUUGUGAAAGUUUGCGGCUCAACCGUAAAAUUGCAGUUGAAACUGGCAGUCUUGAGUACAGUAGAGGUGGGCGGAAUUCGUGGUGUAGCGGUGAAAUGCUUAGAUAUCACGAAGAACUCCGAUUGCGAAGGCAGUUCACUGGACUGCAACUGACACUGAGGCUCGAAAGUGUGGGUAUCAAACAGGAUUAGAUACCCUUGUAGUC
Molecule: ribosomal RNA, 460 nt
Filed under: uncultured bacterium
Lineage: Bacteria
Description: partial 16S ribosomal RNA
Rfam family: Bacterial small subunit ribosomal RNA
Source: RNAcentral